CCUACGGGGGGCAGCAGUGAGGAAUAUUGGUCAAUGGACGAGAGUCUGAACCAGCCAAGUAGCGUGAAGGAUGACUGCCCUAUGGGUUGUAAACUUCUUUUAUAUGGGAAUAAAACGUUCCACGUGUGGGAUUUUGUAUGUACCAUAUGAAUAAGGAUCGGCUAACUCCGUGCCAGCAGCCGCGGUAAUACGGAGGAUCCGAGCGUUAUCCGGAUUUAUUGGGUUUAAAGGGAGCGUAGGUGGAUUGUUAAGUCAGUUGUGAAAGUUUGCGGCUCAACCGUAAAAUUGCAGUUGAAACUGGCAGUCUGGAGUACAGUAGAGGUGGGCGGAAUUCGUGGUGUAGCGGUGAAAUGCUUAGAUAUCACGAAGAACUCCGAUUGCGAAGGCAGCUCACUGGACUGCAACUGACACCGAGGCUCGAAAGUGUGGGUAUCAAACAGGAUUAGAUACCCGGGUAGUC
Molecule: ribosomal RNA, 460 nt
Filed under: uncultured bacterium
Lineage: Bacteria
Description: partial 16S ribosomal RNA
Rfam family: Bacterial small subunit ribosomal RNA
Source: RNAcentral